This is an unclassified non-coding RNA of Oryctolagus cuniculus (rabbit), 287 nucleotides long. It matches the Rfam family "Metazoan signal recognition particle RNA". Rfam says of the family: The signal recognition particle (SRP) is a universally conserved ribonucleoprotein. It is involved in the co-translational targeting of proteins to membranes. NCBI's taxonomy places the organism in Eukaryota, Metazoa, Chordata, Mammalia, Lagomorpha, Leporidae. The record is from Ensembl.
GCCGGGCACGGUGGCAUGCACCUGUAGUCCCAGUUACUCGGGAGGCUGAGGCCGGAGGAUCGCUUGAGUCCAGGAGUUCUGGGCUGUCGUGCGCUAUGCCGAUCGGGUGUCUACACUAAGUUCGCCAUCAAUAUGGUGACCUCCCGGGAGCGGGGGACCACCAGGUUGCCUAAGGAGGGGUGAACCGGCCCAGGUCGGAAAUGGAGCAGGUCAAAACUCCCGUGCUGAUCAGUAGUUCAUUACAGCAGCAACAGGUUACCAGUACAUUAUCUAAUUUCAGAACUAUU